Suricata suricatta (meerkat) is the source of this 565-nucleotide long non-coding RNA. RefSeq lists it as uncharacterized. The record is from RefSeq and is a predicted model, not a curated record. Lineage: Eukaryota; Metazoa; Chordata; Mammalia; Carnivora; Herpestidae. The transcript is spliced from 3 exons.
GAAGCCUGAUCAAAUGUCUCAUAUUGCUUUAGGAUUCCUUAUCCUAGGAAAUCCUUGGUGAGCUCCUGGAUAUUGCUGGCUGAAGAAGGUCGAACCAUUCAUAAUUAUACCAAUGAAAGGAAUAGAAAGUUCCUCACAUGUUCUCACCAUGAACAGUGAUGCCAAAGUGGUCCAUCUGGUGUCUAAAGCUGCAGAGCGGUGCCCAGAGCCCGAGACAAGCUGGAAACCUCCAAGGACACAAUUGAAAGCCACCCUCUGAAAAUGACAGAGCAGAUGGGAAAGUCCUAUUCUCCAGUGAACCUUCGGUCCUGGUAACUGAACUCAAAAACUGUGCUCUGUUCCAUUCUCAACUCUAAGCUCAACCAGAAAAAGGGGACAACUAUUUCUGUUUCAGGGGGAGGAGUUCAUUACCAAUGGAGCUGCCCUGCAAAUGUUAAAAGAUGUCCUGUGAUCACAAGGAAACGAUAGCAGAUGGACAUCUGGAAAAUGGUAAAUAUAGAGAUGCAUAUAAGACUUUUAUCCUUUUUAAAGUAUCUUCAGAAGAUAAUUGUCCACUUAAAGUGAA